Long non-coding RNA from Anolis carolinensis (green anole), 5501 nucleotides. RefSeq annotates it as family with sequence similarity 180 member B. The transcript has 3 exons. Lineage: Eukaryota; Metazoa; Chordata; Lepidosauria; Squamata; Anolidae. The record is from RefSeq and is a predicted model, not a curated record.
UCGCCCAGUCUUCUGUGUGCCCAGGAAGGAGCUUCUCAUCCCGUAUCAGCCAUGGAUUAAGGUUCCCGGGUUUCAACCUGCCACUUUUGAACUUUCGCUUGCUGAGGUGUUCCUGCGAGUAUCUCUGUAGAUCUUAUAAGAUAUUUCUUGAUUUAAGGUGUUGGCAUGCUUCCUGAUAUCUGAAUAGAGAAUGGGACAGAGAUAUCACUGCUUUGGUUCUUUUAUUAUUAGCUGCUACUUCCUGACGGAUGUCAGGUGGUGUAAUGCUGGCUAAACAGUAUAAUUUCUCCAGCAGUGUGGGGCAUAGGCAUCCUGUGAUAAUCCGGCAUGUCUCAUUAAGAGCUACUUCCACUGUUUUAACAUGGUGAGAUGUAUUCCACACUGGACAUGCGUAUUCAGCAAAAGAGUAGCAAAGUGCAAGGGCAGAUGUCUUCACUGUGUCUGGUUGUGAUCCCCAGAUUGUGCCAGUCAGCUUUUGUAUGAUGUUAUUUCUAGCACCUACCUUUUGCUUGAUAUUCAAGCAGUGCUUCUUAUAAGUCAGAGCACGGUCCAGAGUAACUCCCAGGUAUUUUGGUAUGCUGCAAUGCUCCAGUGGGAUUCCUUCUCAGGUAAUCCUCAGGGUUUGAGAUGUUUGUCUGUUCUUAAGAUGAAAAGCACAUAUCUCCAUUUUAGAUGGAUUAAGAAUCAGCUGGUUUUCCCUGUAAUAGGCAGUAAGAGCACCUAAAGCUUGGGAGAACUUCUGUUCAACCAUUUCAAAGCUUAGGUGGUGAUAGCACGAUCGUCAGCAUAGAUGAAACUCUCUGUCCCUUCUGGCAGUGGUUGAUCAUUUGUGUAAAUAUUAAACAUUGAUGGAGGAAGCAUACCUUGUGUGACUGUGGAGCAGAACAACAAACCCCUCAUAUGUAUGCUUGCCCACAAUGCCCUGCCUCAUGCAUGGAGGAGGAGUUGUUUAAAGCUACGGACAAUGCAAUUGCUGUUGCCCACUUUUGGUCUAAAACUAUUUAGCUGUUUGGGAUUCCUUUAUUUUAUCACUUUUAAACUUAUUUAUUAUGCAAUGCUUUUGACACGAAAUAAUAAAAAAGCUGGAUCCUGGGAUUUGUAGUUCAGCGAGGAAGUAGAGCUCUCUGACAGAGAUCCUAAAUAUCCUAUGAAACCAUGACUCUAGAUCCCAUGGACUGGAGUCAUGCCGGUUAAGGUGAGAUCAAACUCUUAUCAUUGUGUAGUGUGAAAGGGUCCAGAUAGAUCAAAGAUUUCCUUUGCUGUAUUCUCCAGCAAGGGAUGUGAACAUGCUAGUGUCACUUUACUUCCAGACUGGACUUAAGUUGUUGGAUUGUGUGUAUGUGAGUAAGAGAGAAAUGGAGUUGAAAAUUAUUCUGAAUAUCUGGUAGCUGACUCUGUUCAUAAUAGAAUUACAACAGGCAUUUUGAACUUAUUAAAGGCAGCUAUCCAAUGUAGAAGUAGCUGACUAAUAUGGGGUGGAGGGGGGGGGAGAGAGAGAGUCAUACGCAUAUAUGUAUUGGGUCAUUAAACCUUUCUAACCACCCCUCCAGAAUUAUUGUAUUGGGCCCCUUUUUUGCUCUGAUUAAUAUUGGACGCUAUGAAGUCUGCACAGAUUUGCCAGCUCCACCCUUCUCUGGCAUGUUAGGAUUGCUCUUGCAUUUCAGGAUUGGAAAGGAAAUGCUAAAUGAAAAAAGGAAGAAUGCUGGAGGCAAAUCAAUGCGUGUUGCCCUUUGUCCUCUCUUAUUGUCAGGUGGUAUCAAUUGGCCUUUGAAGGAAGACUAGAUUAUACUUAUGCACAUCCAGAAUUUUCAGCAUAGACCUUUGACUAUUAAAAGCAUGGCCUUUGUGCUUAAGAGCAAUAAAACUAGCAAACUUCUAUGUGGGAAAUAAAUCAUGGAGGCUUAAAAUGAUGUGCCAAGACCAAAAUAUGGAACAGCCAGAUGCUCCAAGUGGAAAUACACGGGACUCAAUUUGGCAGAAUUCUUUGAGAAUCUGAGUUGAAUUUGUUGGUUUUUAUUUUUAUGCACAGUAAAGGAAACUAGGAAUUCAAAUACAAGCCCUUCCCAGGCUGGAACUGGGAGGAAGGAAACGGUUCCAGCUGUGGCUUCUGGGAUUGAAAGGGAGAGGGAAGAGAAGCUACUUCAAACAGCAUUAGCUUUCCCUAAAGUGUUUCUCUGAAGAAAGAAGAAAUCGGAGUGUUCUCAGCAUGGCCUGGAUUUUCCACUUUGCAACUUGUCUCUGGGUAACCAUGGCUCUCUGCGUAUUUGCUGGAUCCCGGAGGCAGAUAGAUGAACGAUUUCAUGUCAGAGAUACUGCAGACGCAAAUAGUGGAGAGAAUACUGAUGUCAUAUUAGAGUUACUUUGGGGAGGGAUUGAAAUUAUGGCCAAUGAAACAAUCAAGAUUGAGGAUGAGGAGCUGGCUUCUCUGCGUCCUGCAAAACGGUUGCUUCAGAUACUUCAGCAUGAGAUUCCCAAAAACCCAGCUGGGAUUGAGGAGCACCUGGACUAUCUCUCCCAGACAGACACCCCUAUAACCCCAGAAGAAUUUGAGCAGCUCAUCUUCACCAUGGUCUACUGUGCUUACAAGGUUCGCUCCAUCCAAGGCCUGGAGAAAAAUCUUUGGAUCAAUCUUUUUUCCCAGUUGGUCACUGAAAUCAUUCAUGAGCUCUGCAAACAAUUCUGUCCUAAGGAAUCUGUGGAUUCUGUUGAGCUUCUGGCCUCCAGGCCUUGGCAGGAAAUGCCUGUCUAUAUUAGUGCACUGAAAAAGUUCUAUUGGUCUAGUCUAGCCAUGGCCCAUAGAAACCAAGGAGAUUCUCAUGUUUAAAGGGUGUUUGGGUCUUGCAGCUCUUGCUUAUGCAAAAUAACAGGCAAGAACAUUUUUUUUAGGUUCAUGAAUUCCUUCAGCAUUACCCAAGACCCUUCGUGAUUUUAUCUCCUUAUUGUAUGGUAGUGACCUCUGGGCCAUUAAAAAAAAUCUAUAUGACUAAAUCACUCAUGGUCUGAGACUCCUGUCUCUGAGGUCUUUAUAGAAAUGGUUCUCAAUCUUUGGUCUUCUAGAUAAGUUUCAUUUUCAUUUCCCAAGCCUCCAGUCAGUGUAGAUAGUGUUCAGAGGCCCUGGAAGCUAAAUCCAAAGCAUCUGGAGGACCAAAGGUUGAUUGCCAUUGGUCUAGGGUCAUACAGAUCAGAUGAUAUUUCCUCCUUCCCAUUGGAAAAUGCUGUGCUGUGGAUUGGGGUGGGAUUUCAGAUGAAAAUGGGAUUACUUGUCCCUCCUCCAUGACUGUUCUCAAAGAAUGCAGAAAGAACAUAUUUACAUGUAGUGAAAAUUACAAUGAAGCAAAUUCAUAUUAGGAAGAGGUUGUGAAAUGUAAGAAUGAUUCCCUGGUAGAACAGCUAUCUACUUAACAGGAUACUUUUAAGAAAAUGAUAGUCAGGCAUCAGAUUAAGAGUACUUGAUGCAUGCUGUCCAUCAUUUUCUGAGACUGUUCUUGCAAAAUAGUCAGCUGUUCCAACAGUAAAUAGUUCUUAUAGUUUUCGGUAUACAAUGUCCUUUCUGGAGGGGGCUAGAUUCAAUGGUUCAUAUGGAACUCCUCCCAUUGUUUACUUUCUUCUUGUAAUUGCUUCUAGACCUCCAUUGUUUUAGAUAAAAAUUGACUCUAUUAUAUUUAACAUCCAAGACAUUUGAAAGAAUAAGAAUUUCUGUUCUGCUACCUACAUUUUUAAUCACUGAAGAUCCCAUAAACGUACCAACUUCCUCAGCUGCAUCCAGGAGGUGAUAAGUGAGCCAUGGAUAUCUUUACUGAAUGUCAUAUCAAAUUCAGCUGAUUUCUGAAUGUAUUGUGUCUGUGUGGGAUUCACUGAUAUAGUCUAUAAACAACCACAUAUUUUAUUAGGUAGGACGUUGCUUAUAUUUAACCAGAAACCUAUUAAAGAUUUACAAACAUGAAAUAUGAAUGUGUGACUGUGUAGGCUUAACUAAGGAACAUUUUUAUCUGUGUUUUGCUUUUUUAACUAAAACCAUUUCUGGUUGGUUGUAUAGGAAACUGGAUAUUAUCAAGUGCUUGUACCAGAAUAUUCAUAUUGCAAUCAAGAAAGUGAAAAAUUGGUCAGUAGAAAGCAUGCCAAUCAGUAUAACAUAUAAACACUCAAACUACAGAAGAACUCAAGAGAAGUGAGUCCAUUUCAUUUGCUGCCAUUGUUAAAAUAAUACUCAAGGGAAGCAUCUAGGAAUUCUCCAAGGUGGGACAGCUGACUUCAAUAGUAGAUGCAGCUUCAAAUCCAGUUCAAAUGUAUUCCAGUCAUCUGCUUUGGAGGCAAAUAACCUCCCUGCUGAAUACUGCCUCUGCAGUCACCCAUAUACACAGUGGCUGGAAUUCUGUUGGUCAGAUAUAUUUUCUUAACUUGGACUUGUGCAUAUUUGUCUUAUUUUGGAUGCAGCUAUUCACUAGCCCCUUGCACAGCAUUCAAAACUCUCCCCUGGCAGCUGAGAAAGGGGGCAGUGCUGUUACUGCUGUGACAAGACAGAAGGAGGAAAACGAGGCAUUGAAGGUUACCAAGAAACAACCUAUCUUGGCUGCAAUUGUAGCUGAAGGGAAAGAUAAAUUAGUCCGUUUCUCCUUUCUGCUUGUAAUGAAGACUGUAAACACAUGCAGAUACACAGAGACCAUAAGGGCAGUGGUUCUCAACCUGUGAGUCCCCAGAUGUUUUGGUCUUCAACUCCCAGAAAUCCUAACAGCUGGUAAACUGGCUGGAAUUUCUGGGAGUCACACGCCAAAAUAGCUAGGGUUGUUGAGAACCACUGCCAUAAGGUUUAACUGGCAGAUCAAUCCAGUAAACUACUCUGAUGAAUCAGUGUAGGGGGAAUUUCAAUUGCUGGACAUUUAAGGCAAGAGCAAAAAUCAUGGGACCAUCAAAAGUUGGUAGACUACUAACUUCCAGAAUUCCUCACUCUUGUCUAUACUAGCUAGUGCUGCUGAGAAUGGCAGCAGUACUAACUAAUGACAUCUGAACAACCACAAAAUGUCCAUCCCUGAUUUAAAUAUAUAGUACAUGUUAGUUUUUUUUAACUCUUGGAGGACUGAUGUUUUACUGAAGUAAAUAACUGAAUACAUUAAAGACAAUAUUUUUUAAUUUUUUAAGACAAUGAAUGGUAUGCAGUAGUUCCCUCUAUUGGCUUGUAUCUCCUUCAUUGUAUAUUUGCUUGGCAAUAUGUAAAUUUAUUUAAAUUAGUCAAUACUUUGCAAAAAUGCAGACAAUAAUUCAGUCACAACAUUAACAUCUCUAAAGGAAAGCAUGCUACCUUUUAGUAGAUUCCAAAAUAAAUAAAUCACCACAUGAAACAUACCAUCCAACCUACUACUUUUUGUCUCAAGCUUUAUUGAGUUCAUCGUUCAAUCACAUUUGUCCCUUUAUCAAUAUGUCUGGUUUGCAGAAGCUGUGACCAAUUUCUGAGUGACUUGCAGAGAGAGAGAGAGAGAGAGAGAAAGAGAGAGAGAGAGACAAUA